GACGCACCUCACCAGUACCAGAGCAACAGCUGUGGGGUGUUUAUGCUGAUGGUGAGAUGCAUUCAGAAAUGAUGACUGAUGACUAGUUUGCAAAACAACUUAAUUUCAGUACGCAAUGUAUUCUACCCUCAAAAGCAAUAUGAUUUCAGUGAGGGGGACAUGCUCUCUAUCAGGAGGUGGUGGUUGGACAGCUGUUGGAGACCUUUAUGCUUGAAAGCCCUGCAGAACUAGCUGGCUCCUUCUCACCCUCUCCAUCUCCCCAUCUCAGUCACACCUUCCAAUCACUAAGCAGUGAAAGCCCUGCAGGACUAGCUGGCACACCAAGCUCACCCUCUCCAUCUCCCCAUCUCAGCCACACGCUCCAAUCUGGCACAACAGAGGACAGGCCAUUCUUACCACCCGAAGUCCUUCAGCAAAUUGUACAAGAGACGCUGAGACUGGACAUGGCGAUGCUUGGCGUGUUCAACAGGGUUUCAAACACAUUCCGAGAACUAAUCAAGCCUCUCCAUCCUUCCAUAUAUAUAAAUGACAGUUUGGCAGGGGACAUUAAGCUUAAUAAAGACAAUCUCGUAUAAAUAACGGUUAGAAAGAUUUACAACAAUGCAGGCUGUGGCAGUGGCCUUGCGCUACGCCUCAAAGGCUUCUCAAAAAAGAAGAAUUGGCCAAGCGCACCCCUGGUACUGAGGCACGUUGCAUAUGGCAGGUUUGUCAUAAAAGAUGUCUGCCUUGCAUAAUGUUCUUUUAUUACUCCUUUUUCGUUUUAUUUGGAACGUCUUUUUUUGCAAUCCCUUUCAUUUGUAAAUGUACAUACUACUGUAGUAAAUGUAUCUGCCCAGAAAUGCUGGUAUUUUAUUACUCCUUUCUUUUUUGUUUUUGUGACAAAUGCUAUACGAUGCAUAGCGAUGUAUAUACUUGGAGUCAAAUGGCCUACUGUUUGAGCCUUCAUAGUGUCU
RNAcentral lists this long non-coding RNA (953 nucleotides) under Gadus morhua (Atlantic cod). Its description in RNAcentral is "lncRNA (ENSGMOG00000025743.1)". Lineage: Eukaryota; Metazoa; Chordata; Actinopteri; Gadiformes; Gadidae. The record is from RNAcentral.